RNAcentral lists this ribosomal RNA (759 nucleotides) under uncultured fungus. RNAcentral's name for it is "eukaryotic LSU rRNA". The stretch from base 1 to 240 matches the Rfam family "Eukaryotic small subunit ribosomal RNA", at positions 1594 to 1831 of the family's 1831-position model. The record is from RNAcentral. Lineage: Eukaryota; Fungi.
GCUUCUCUCACGAGGAAUCCCUAGUAAGCGCAAGUCAUCAGCUUGCGUUGAUUACGUCCCUGCCCUUUGUACACACCGCCCGUCGCUACUACCGAUUGAAUGGCUCAGUGAGGCUUCCGGACUGGCCCAGGGAGGUCGGCAACGACCACCCAGGGCCGGAAAGCUAUCCAAACUCGGUCAUUUAGAGGAAGUAAAAGUCGUAACAAGGUCUCCGUUGGUGAACCAGCGGAGGGAUCAUUAAAGAGUUGCAAAACUCCCUUAAACCAUCGUGAACCAUACCUCUGAACAGUUGCUUCGGCGGGCCGGCCCUCCCCCGGGAGGCGCCGCCCAAGGCCCGCCGGAGGUACCCAAACCAUUGUCUUUACAGGCCUCUCUGAGUGACAUACUUAAUAAGUCAAAACUUUCAACAACGGAUCUCUUGGUUCUGGCAUCGAUGAAGAACGCAGCGAAAUGCGAUAAGUAAGUGUGAAUUGCAGAAUUCAGUGAAUCAUCGAAUCUUUGAACGCACAUUGCGCCCGCCAGUAUUCUGGCGGGCAUGCCUGUCCGAGCGUCAUUUCAACCAUCAAGCCCCGGGCUUGUGUUGGGGACCUGCGUCCGACGCAGGCCCCGAAAACCCAGUGGCGGGCUCGCUGUCCACACCGAGCGUAGUAGCUAACCUCGCUCCGGAGUGGCGCGGGCGCCUGCCGUAAAACCCCCCCAAUUUUACAAGGUUGAACCUCGGAUCAGGUAGGAAUACCCGCUGAACUUAAGCAUAUCAUA